Long non-coding RNA from Micropterus dolomieu (smallmouth bass), 134 nucleotides. RefSeq lists it as uncharacterized. The record is from RefSeq and is a predicted model, not a curated record. The transcript is spliced from 2 exons. NCBI's taxonomy places the organism in Eukaryota, Metazoa, Chordata, Actinopteri, Centrarchiformes, Centrarchidae.
UUAUGUUCUACAACAAUUACAGCUAAACACUUAAUCUGAACUAUAUGUUCCCAGCGUGUUUGACCGCGCGCACACACUUAUGUGUACAUUGUGAGUUCUGCACAAGUGGAAUAAAGAAAAGAGAAAACACAAAA